UUAAUUUGCUUAGGAAUGGAUGCAUGCUUGUUUUGAAUUAUUAAUCACCGCGAUUAAAACUAUCUAAUUGUCUUAGUGAUUCACAACCAUUAGGAUUUUUAGACAAGUAAUUUGAUGCAAUUUCUGUUGGAACAUCACCCUAAAAUUGAGGAGGGCUUCUUGUGAUUAGUAAUUGUAAGUUCACUUAAGGCGAACAUCACGCUCUUAAGGGUUGCAUGUUUUUCAAAGGGUUUUCACAAAACCUAAUGAGUCUUACAUGUUUAUAUUUGACCUGAACAUCACAGAUGGAUUGCAUGUUAGAUAUACAUUUUCGCUUGAACAUCAUGAGGAAAAUAUGCAUUAGGAAAACCUAAUGUGACAUGCCAUCCCAAAUUUUACAUUUUUAUAAAUUUUAAAAGUGUGACUUUACGAAAAUGCCUUUAGAGGCGAGGGUCUUGACUUCCGUUGACCAACGUAUAGC
RNAcentral lists this long non-coding RNA (460 nucleotides) under Malus domestica (apple). Its description in RNAcentral is "long non-coding RNA (MDOM_LNC013562)". The record is from RNAcentral. Lineage: Eukaryota; Viridiplantae; Streptophyta; Magnoliopsida; Rosales; Rosaceae.